This 503-nucleotide ribosomal RNA is filed under the name uncultured bacterium. Its description in RNAcentral is "partial 16S ribosomal RNA". It matches the Rfam family "Bacterial small subunit ribosomal RNA", at positions 28 to 523 of the family's 1533-position model. The record is from RNAcentral.
GAUGAACGCUAGCGAUAGGCCUAACACAUACAAGUCGAGGGGCAGCAUAGAGUAGCAAUACUUUGAUGGCGACCGGCGCACGGGUGAGUAACACGUAUGCAACCUACCUACAUCAGGGGAAUAACCCGGAGAAAUUUGGACUAAUACCGCAUAAUACAGGGAUGCCGCAUGGCAAUAUUUGUUUAAGAUUUAUCGGAUGUAGAUGGGCAUGCGUUCCAUUAGCUGGUUGGUAAGGUAACGGCUUACCAAGGCAACGAUGGAUAGGGGAACUGAGAGGUUUGUCCCCCACCCAGGAACUGAGACACGGACCAGACUCCUACGGGAGGCAGCAGUGAGGAAUAUUGGUCAAUGGACGAGAGUCUGAACCAGCCAAAUCGCGUGAAGGAAGACUGCCCUACGGGUUGUAAACUUCUUCUGUACAGGAAUAAAAGACAUUACGUGUAAUGUAUUGCAUGUACUGUACGAAUAAGCAUCGGCUAACUCCGUGCCAGCCGCCGCAGUAA